This 440-nucleotide ribosomal RNA is filed under the name uncultured bacterium. Its description in RNAcentral is "partial 16S ribosomal RNA". It matches the Rfam family "Bacterial small subunit ribosomal RNA", at positions 338 to 795 of the family's 1533-position model. The record is from RNAcentral.
CCUACGGGUGGCAGCAGUGGGGAAUAUUGCACAAUGGGGGAAACCCUGAUGCAGCAACGCCGCGUGAGUGAAGAAGUAUUUCGGUAUGUAAAGCUCUAUCAGCAGGGAAGAAGAUGACGGUACCUGAGUAAGAAGCCCCGGCUAACUACGUGCCAGCAGCCGCGGUAAUACGUAGGGGGCAAGCGUUAUCCGGAUUUACUGGGUGUAAAGGGAGCGCAGACGGUGAGACAAGUCUGAAGUGAAAGCCCGGGGCUCAACCCCGGGACUGCCUUGGAAACUGCCUGACUGGAGUGCUGGAGAGGCAAGCGGAAUUCCUGGUGUAGCGGUGAAAUGCGUAGAUAUUAGGAAGAACACCAGUGGCGAAGGCAGCUUGCUGCAGCGGAACUGACGCUGAUGCUCGAAAGCGCGGGUAUCGAACAGGAUUAGAUACCCUUGUAGUC